RNAcentral lists this long non-coding RNA (1197 nucleotides) under Homo sapiens (human). RNAcentral's name for it is "novel transcript". Lineage: Eukaryota; Metazoa; Chordata; Mammalia; Primates; Hominidae. The record is from RNAcentral.
ACCAGAGCUUGGGUUGGGGUGACAGGUUUGGGCCCUGUCAUCUCUACCAGCACCUCCCAAGCCACCCCAAUACAGCUCUGAAACAAGCCUCCCAGCUCACAGGCACUUUCCCUCCAUCCCUGCCAGCCUGUCUCUGCCGGUGGGCUCAGGCUGUUAAUCGGCUUGACAGGUGAGGUCCUAAGAUACUGAAACCUCCUCCUCAAUAUGUUUUAUUCCAGGUUUUAGAAUCUCUGGAUGGGUGUGGGAAGAGGCACGUCAGUGGCGGCAGGAGGCCCACAGUUCUGUGCCUGGAAAGUGGAGAACUGGAAGAGAAGAUGAGAAACAUUCCCCUCAAGGCAAAAAUGUCCCCAAGAUGUAUUCUGGAGAAUUCAGCCCAGUCAGAGUGAGAUGAACGAACCGUGUGGAUGCCCUCAAGAUGUGCACGACCAUGGAAUGGGAGACUGGAGGGACCCAUGGAUCCCAACCUUGGACCGGGUUCCCCCAGUAUGAGCCAUGAGCCAGUUGAAUCUGAAUGCGAAGAAGGAAUGAGGACCGACCGGAGUCACGAUGCCUAACAGACCAAUGCUUUCUGACUCAGCUCCUCUCUACCCUGAAUAUGAGAGACCCUAAUAGUUAGGCAGGAAUAUCAUCGCCCCUAUUCAGCAUGAAGAAGUUACAGAAAAUGGACCUUCAUCCUUCUGCAGCCCCUAGGAUUAAGGGUCCUCUUGUAGAAGGGAAAGGGGAGAUAUGUGGGAAGCAUUCAAACCAGAGUGACUCCAGUUUGAAUAAGGGCUAAGAAAAGAGAAGCUGGGUCACCUACCGGCAAUUAAGGGCUGCACAGCCUGCAAUCGCCUAGCUAAUGAUAGCUAAGUAAUAAUGAUAGUAAUAAUGAUACCUUCUCUUUUAUAAAAAAGAGGGGACAUGUUGGGAAAAAAGCUGAGUGUUGGGGGGGAAACCGAGGCAGGGCUUGCAUAAUGUCCUCUGGAAUGUGUCUAGACUUGCUGGCUCCUUGCUUCUAGCCUUCCUAGGCUCCUAGGUCCCUAUUCCCAGUAUCUCAAGUAGCAGAACAUGUUCCAUGUAAAUGCUAAACCAUCACAGUUGUAGAUCAUGCGCCUGCCCUUUUGACCUCCACGUUAUCACCACCUGUUUCUUUGUUGGAUUACCAAUAAACACUGUGGGCUCCCAGAGCUCGGGGCCUUCACAGCCUCCACGAUGGCC